RNAcentral lists this ribosomal RNA (324 nucleotides) under Triticum aestivum (bread wheat). RNAcentral describes it as "partial small subunit ribosomal RNA". The stretch from base 32 to 166 matches the Rfam family "MIR1120/MIR1122 microRNA precursor family". The record is from RNAcentral. Lineage: Eukaryota; Viridiplantae; Streptophyta; Magnoliopsida; Poales; Poaceae.
AUGUGGUACUUGACCACUGCUACUUUGCUCUUUACUACUCCCUCCGUCCGGAAAUACUUGUCAUCAAAAUGGAUAAAAGGGGAUGUAUCUAGACGUAUUUUAGUUCUAGAUACAUCUCUUUUUAUCCAUUUUGAUGACAAGUAUUUUCGAACGGAGGGAGUAUGUGGGAAUGUUCCCAUCACAAUAUUUUUUUUGACUGGUUACUGUAGGGAAAACCCCCACAGCCAUUGCUCUUUAUUCAUUCAAAGUAUACAAUAUGUACAAAGGUUAACAAGAGUAACCCAAAAGAAGGAAAAAACUAAAAAGACCCAUCACGAUAUUUGA